Alligator sinensis (Chinese alligator) is the source of this 554-nucleotide long non-coding RNA. RefSeq lists it as uncharacterized. NCBI's taxonomy places the organism in Eukaryota, Metazoa, Chordata, Crocodylia, Alligatoridae. The transcript is spliced from 3 exons. The record is from RefSeq and is a predicted model, not a curated record.
GAAUUCACCCCAAAACCUGCCAUAUUUACACAGGCCUAUUAAAUUGGAAUAUAAAACAUGUAAAUGUCUCAACAGCUUUUUGUAUCAUGGGAAAUGAGAGCAAUUCUUUCUAUUGGAUUCAGAAAGAAAAUGAAAAGUCUUUUGAAUAUCACAUCGUGAGCCUAGUGUGAGGCAAGGAAAAGAAACAUCCCCUUUUGCAGAUCUCUGCACAUUAAGAUCAACAUUGCAAUAUUGAAGUGAGUAUGGAACUGUGUACCAAAACCCCAUGGGAACUAAAAUAGAGUAAAAAUCGGAUUGUUUAUUUCUCCAUCUUAAUAUAUCCUGGGUGAUUUAGGGCUUUGCUGUACAAUUAUCCCUAAUCAUUUAAACAAUGACAUUGAUUUUCUGGUUAGAAAAAUGUAAAACUUUGUGUUUCUGGGGCCUUGGUAAUGCAGAUGAAUUUGGAGAGAGGUGUAUGUGUUAAGCCCUUGUCUGUAUGUGAUCCAAUAUAAUGAAUAGUAGACUCAAGGCAGGAAAAUGAAAGAGCAAUUGUCUUAUCAGAUCUUUCCAGGAGU